UACGGAGGGUGCAAGCGUUAUCCGGAUUCACUGGGCUUAAAGGGUGCGUAGGAGGGCAGGUAAGUCCGUGGUGAAAUCUCCGAGCUUAACUCGGAAACUGCCGUGGAUACUCUCUGUCUUGAAUCCCGUGGAGAUGAGCGGAAUAUGUCAUGUAGCGGUGAAAUGCUUAGAUAUGACAUAGAACACCGAUUGCGAAGGCAGCUCGUUGCGCGAAGAUUGACGCUGAGGCACGAAAGCGUGGGGAUCAAACAGG
Molecule: ribosomal RNA, 253 nt
Filed under: uncultured bacterium
Lineage: Bacteria
Description: partial 16S ribosomal RNA
Rfam family: Bacterial small subunit ribosomal RNA
Source: RNAcentral